GGUCCGCGGCCCACCCGCAGCAUCCGCACCCGCCCGCAGCAGGUGGAUCGAUUCCACCUGCCUCCCCCUCCCUCUUCUCUCCUCUCGCUGCCGCUACAGGAUGCCGCCGGGGUCGCUCUCAUCCCUCCAGCAGCGUCGGCACCGCGGGACGCAGCGGGCUCGACUUGCAUCGGCGGCGCCGGUGUCCCUCUCCUCCGUCGAGCGGCGGCGGCGUGGGACGUAGCAGGUUAAAUCUGCGUUUGGCGGCAGCGGCGGCGGCGACAGGUUCCGCUCCUUGUCGCGCCGCCCCUCUCCUUUUCCUUGCUUUCUUGCCCCUGCGGAGAUCGAGGGAGACGCCCUCGGCUUAUGGCCUCCUCUCUAGGGCCAGGUGGUGGCUAGAGGAAAGGGGAGGCGGAAGAAAUCCGCCCCAAGGCUCUCGCCGUCUCGCUCUACCUUAUGGUGUUGUAUGGUCUGUCGGACAAGGGAACCCGGUUGCUGACUGAUAUCAAACGCCUUCUCCCUAAGAUCAUGCUCCCAGGCUAAAUCAACACCACCUGUUGGGAUCUGACUCUGGUGGGAUGGAACAUGGAAAGCUAUUGGCCGCUUGCAGUCUCACAAUCUGUCAGACGCACAAGUGGAGUUUUGUUUGGCAAUGCUUUUCUAUUGAGCAUAUUAAGAGAUUGCCAUUUGUCUGUCCUUUUUAUUAAGAAAUGACGAAUCAUUUAGCACGAAUUUGUAACUGGUUCAAGUACAUGACUGUCAAAAUACGGUGUGUUCGACAACACAUCUUCUAUCAAGUUGCUGGGAAUGUUGCCUGUGCCCCGUGGCACUGUCAACAA
Triticum aestivum (bread wheat) is the source of this 818-nucleotide long non-coding RNA. RefSeq lists it as uncharacterized. The transcript has 2 exons. NCBI's taxonomy places the organism in Eukaryota, Viridiplantae, Streptophyta, Magnoliopsida, Poales, Poaceae. The record is from RefSeq and is a predicted model, not a curated record.